GUCCACGCAGUAAACGAUGAUAGCUCGUUGUCGGCGAUACACAGUCGGUGACUUAGAGAAAUCGAUAAGCUAUCCACCUGGGGGAGUACGUUCGCAAGAAUGAAACUCAAAGGAAUUGACGGGGGGCCCGCACAAGCGGAGGAACAUGUGGUUUAAUUCGAUGAUACGCGAGGAACCUUACCCGGGCUUGAAAGUUAUUGACGAUUCUGGAAACAGGAUUUCCCUCGGGGCAAGAAACUAGGUGCUGCAUGGUUGUCGU
This 259-nucleotide ribosomal RNA is filed under the name uncultured bacterium. Its description in RNAcentral is "partial 16S ribosomal RNA". It matches the Rfam family "Bacterial small subunit ribosomal RNA", at positions 793 to 1055 of the family's 1533-position model. The record is from RNAcentral.